This 253-nucleotide ribosomal RNA is filed under the name uncultured bacterium. RNAcentral's name for it is "partial 16S ribosomal RNA". It matches the Rfam family "Bacterial small subunit ribosomal RNA", at positions 524 to 776 of the family's 1533-position model. The record is from RNAcentral.
UACGUAGGGUGCGAGCGUUGUCCGGAAUUAUUGGGCGUAAAGAGCUUGUAGGCGGUUUGUCGCGUCUGCCGUGAAAUUUCGAGGCUCAACCUCGAACUUGCGGUGGGUACGGGCAGACUAGAGUGUGGUAGGGGAGACUGGAAUUCCUGGUGUAGCGGUGAAAUGCGCAGAUAUCAGGAGGAAUACCUGUGGCGAAGGCGGCCAACUGGACGAGUACUGACGCUGAGACACGAAAGCGUGGGGAGCAAACAGG